UCUUGUUGAUAAUGUCACUGUGACCUCACAAAGGAUACCACACAUCAACAUGAACACCUGAGGGAUGUUAUAUAUAACACAGUCAAUAAAAAUGUCUCAAAAUCAAAGUUGCUCAUUCAGCCAGACAAGUUUGGAGCUGCCCUUCCAUAAAUAAGGCCUGGAAAGCAUUCAAGUACUAGUCUACAAACAAGCCCGGGCACUGUGCAUGAGAUGCUAUGUACCAAGGUGACACAGCAGGUAGAGAAGAAGACUCAAAGAAAAUGUUCCAAGUUUGGAAAAAGUGUGGCAAGAAAUGGAAAAAAACUCCUGUGUAAACACAAGUUAAAAAAAAAAAACUGCCUCAUGGAUAAAGAUGAACAACAUGAAUUUGUAUGUACCCAUAAUCUGCAUGAUUUUUUUUUUAUUUUCCCAGAAGCCUUCACAAACCCAGGAGUGGAAAAAGAAGAUUGAUACCAAGUUGCAGGUUUCAUGAAGUUUCUGUCCUAACACCAAAUAGCUAUGUGUCUUUGAGUGAGGCACUUAAUUUCUCUGGACCACCAUUUGCUCCUUGAUAUGACAGAACUCAUCGUUGACAAAUAAAAUAAUGUAUAAUAAUGAAAUAAUGCAAACUGCUCAGUACAGUGCCCAGAAAAUGGCAAUUGGUCCAUAGGUACUUAUAAUUUUUUAUCAUUAUUA
Non-coding RNA from Ictidomys tridecemlineatus (thirteen-lined ground squirrel), 675 nucleotides. The record is from RefSeq and is a predicted model, not a curated record. NCBI's taxonomy places the organism in Eukaryota, Metazoa, Chordata, Mammalia, Rodentia, Sciuridae.